GGGCGAUUGGUUUAGUGGUAUAACGACCCCCCUUCGCAUGGGGUAGGUCCUGGUCCUAGGUUCGACUCCUAGAUUGUCCA
This 80-nucleotide transfer RNA is filed under the name Colletotrichum fructicola Nara gc5. RNAcentral's name for it is "tRNA-Undet for anticodon ???". It matches the Rfam family "tRNA". Rfam says of the family: Transfer RNA (tRNA) molecules are approximately 80 nucleotides in length. Their secondary structure includes four short double-helical elements and three loops (D, anti-codon, and T loops). The record is from RNAcentral. Lineage: Eukaryota; Fungi; Ascomycota; Sordariomycetes; Glomerellales; Glomerellaceae.